UCAGACAUGUUACCAUUGUUCUGC
Molecule: non-coding RNA, 24 nt
Filed under: Arabidopsis thaliana (thale cress)
Lineage: Eukaryota; Viridiplantae; Streptophyta; Magnoliopsida; Brassicales; Brassicaceae
Source: RNAcentral